CGCUCCCUGUAGCGUGCGAUGCGGAUUGGACAGACUUUCGACCCUAAAUCUUGAUCUUGGGGUUGUGUUCUGUCGGUGGCGUUGUGCAGAUCCGGCAUUGCCGGGUAGCCUGCAACCACCACGGCUUACCCCACCUGGUGCUCCGGUUCGAGAGCAACAGUCCGCGACGGCGCCAACGGGGAGCGU
Molecule: non-coding RNA, 186 nt
Filed under: Rhodospirillaceae bacterium
Lineage: Bacteria; Pseudomonadati; Pseudomonadota; Alphaproteobacteria; Rhodospirillales; Rhodospirillaceae
Description: 6S RNA
Rfam family: 6S / SsrS RNA
About the family: E. coli 6S RNA was the first non coding RNA to be sequenced, but its function was unknown until recently. It consists of 184 nucleotides that fold into an extended hairpin structure with a large single-stranded internal bulge.
Source: RNAcentral